Molecule: ribosomal RNA, 823 nt
Filed under: uncultured bacterium
Lineage: Bacteria
Description: bacterial SSU rRNA
Rfam family: Bacterial small subunit ribosomal RNA
Source: RNAcentral
UGCAAGUCGAACGAGAAAGUCCCGCAAGGGACAAGUAGAGUGGCGAACGGGUGAGUAACACGUGGAUAACCUGCCGUCGAGUGGGGAAUAACCUUCCGAAAGGAGGGCUAAUACCGCAUAACACCCGAGGACAUAAGUCCCUGGGUUGAAAGGAGCGAUUCGCUCGAUGAGGGGUCCGCGCCUGAUUAGCUUGUUGGUGAGGUAACGGCUCACCAAGGCGACAAUCAGUAGCCGUCCUGAGAGGGAGCACGGCCACACUGGAACUGACACACGGUCCACACUCCUACGGGAGGCAGCAGUGAGGAAUUUUUGGCAAUGGGCGAAAGCCUGACCAAGCAACGCCGCGUGGGUGAUGAAGUAUUUUGGUACGUAAAACCCUUUCGGCAGGGACGAAUUCUUGACGGUACCUGCGGAAGAAGCCCCGGCUAACUCCGUGCCAGCAGCCGCGGUAAUACGGGGGGGGCAAGCGUUGUUCGGAAUUACUGGGCGUAAAGGGCGCGUAGGCGGUUGGAUAAGUCAGCUGUGAAAACCUCAGGCUCAACUUGAGGCCUGCAGUUGAAACUGUCCAGCUAGAGUGUGGGAGAGGAGAGUGGAAUUCCCGGUGUAGCGGUGAAAUGCGUAUAUAUCGGGAGGAACACCAGUGGCGAAGGCGGCUCUCUGGACCACAACUGACGCUGAGGCGCGAAAGCUAGGGGAGCAAACAGGAUUAGAUACCCUGGUAGUCCUAGCUGUAAACGAUGGAUACUUGCUGUAGGGGGUAUUGAAUCCUCCUGUGGCGAAGCUAACGCAUUAAGUAUCCCGCCUGGGAGAGUACGGUCGCAAG